This is a long non-coding RNA of Mastomys coucha (southern multimammate mouse), 397 nucleotides long. RefSeq lists it as uncharacterized. The transcript has 2 exons. NCBI's taxonomy places the organism in Eukaryota, Metazoa, Chordata, Mammalia, Rodentia, Muridae. The record is from RefSeq and is a predicted model, not a curated record.
CCGACCAUUGUUGGGAGUGGAUUGUUGGGAGUUGGACUACAGACUCCAUGGCUGCUGACGUGAACCUCCUGAGCCUCCAGACUCUGUCUGCCACAAUGACCAGAGACCAUCUGAGACCACCCAAGGAAGAACGCUUCGAGGGCAAGCGUUCUUCGUGGUCAAACAUUAUCUACAGUCAAACAUUUCCUUCGUGGUCAAGUAUAGCCCUCUGGCCGAGAGAUAGCUGGACCUGUUGGACACCAACUCCUUUAGGUUCAUCAAGAACACCACGCCCUGCCUCAGAGAUAGCUGAGCCUGCUUCCAGAGACACUGUCAGGUCGUAUACCCCCUAAUAGGCAGUAGAGUGAAGCCGUAUAUAUUUAAUAUGUAGUAAAUAAAGCGAAAUGUUUAGCUAUUA